CAACCCUCAAGCACCGCUUGGUGUUGGGCAACGCGGUCAGCCGCGUGCCUCAAAUCGACCGGCUGGGUCUUCUGUCCCCUAAGCGUUGUGGAAACUAUUCGCUAAAGGGUGUUCGGGAGGCUACGCCGUAAAACAACCCCAUUUCUAA
This 148-nucleotide unclassified non-coding RNA is filed under the name uncultured Capnodiales. RNAcentral describes it as "sequence contains ITS2". Lineage: Eukaryota; Fungi; Ascomycota; Dothideomycetes; Capnodiales. The record is from RNAcentral.